RNAcentral lists this ribosomal RNA (254 nucleotides) under uncultured bacterium. Its description in RNAcentral is "partial 16S ribosomal RNA". It matches the Rfam family "Bacterial small subunit ribosomal RNA", at positions 524 to 776 of the family's 1533-position model. The record is from RNAcentral.
UACAUGUGGGGCAAGCGUUGUUCGGAUUUACUGGGCGUAAAGGGCGCGUAGGCGGUCAGCACAAGUCAGUUGUGAAAUCUCCGGGCUUAACUCGGAAAGGUCAACUGAUACUGUGCGACUAGAGUGCAGAAGGGGCAACUGGAAUUCUCGGUGUAGCGGUGAAAUGCGUAGAUAUCGAGAGGAACACCUGCGGCGAAGGCGGGUUGCUGGGCUGACACUGACGCUGAUGCGCGAAAGCCAGGGGAGCGAACGGG